GAUGAACGCUAGCUACAGGCUUAACACAUGCAAGUCGAGGGGCAGCACAGUGUAGCAAUGCAUGGGUGGCGACCGGCGCACGGGUGCGUAACGCGUAUCCAACCUUCCCGAUACUCAGGGAUAGCCUUCCGAAAGGGAGAUUAAUACCUGAUGGUGUUUCAAUUCCGCAUGUUAAUGAAACUAAAGAUUUAUCGGUAUCGGAUGGGGAUGCGUGACAUUAGAUAGUAGGCGGGGUAACGGCCCACCUAGUCUACGAUGUCUAGGGGUUCUGAGAGGAAGGUCCCCCCACACUGGAACUGAGACACGGUCCAGACUCCUACGGGAGGCAGCAGUGAGGAAUAUUGGUCAAUGGUCGGAAGACUGAACCAGCCAAGUAGCGUGAAGGAUGAAGGUUCUAUGGAUUGUAAACUUCUUUUAUACGGGAAUAAAACCUCCCACGUGUGGGAGCUUGUAUGUACCGUAUGAAUAAGCAUCGGCUAACUCCGUGCCAGCAGCCGACGG
RNAcentral lists this ribosomal RNA (501 nucleotides) under uncultured bacterium. Its description in RNAcentral is "bacterial SSU rRNA". It matches the Rfam family "Bacterial small subunit ribosomal RNA", at positions 28 to 520 of the family's 1533-position model. The record is from RNAcentral.